AUGUUCCGACAUUUAACAUUAAUCGACUUGAGCAACAAUAGUAUCAGCAUGUUGGCCAAUUACACCUUCAGUAAUAUGACACAGCUAUCAACUCUGAUCCUAAGCUACAAUAGGUUACGAUGUAUUCCAGUUCAUGCAUUUAAUGGCCUUAAAUCUCUCCGAGUAUUGUA
Molecule: long non-coding RNA, 170 nt
Organism: Protobothrops mucrosquamatus (brown spotted pit viper)
Lineage: Eukaryota; Metazoa; Chordata; Lepidosauria; Squamata; Viperidae
Exons: 3
Source: RefSeq, a predicted model, not a curated record